AAAAAUGGAAGGAGGAGGUAGAGGAGAAGGGAGGGGGAUAAGGGGAUGAAGCCCAAGGGGGUGACGGCUGAGUUUUUUUUUUUUUUUUUUCCUCUCACUCUCUAGGUUUUCUAACUACCACUGAUCGGAAUUCCUUUGUUUAUUUGAUUUUUAGUGUUGAGCGUAUUUGAGAUAAUUCAAGUGAGUUUUUGGCUAUAUUUAAAAGUUUUUAUGAAAACUGAUAUUUAAAAGUUUUAGUUCUUC
Molecule: long non-coding RNA, 243 nt
Filed under: Prunus persica (peach)
Lineage: Eukaryota; Viridiplantae; Streptophyta; Magnoliopsida; Rosales; Rosaceae
Description: long non-coding RNA (PPER_LNC008147)
Source: RNAcentral